GGUAUACACACUGCAUUCUAACUGCACACAGAGCGGUAUACACACUGCAUUCUAACUGCACACAGAGAGGUAUACACACUGCAUUCUAACUGCAAACAGAGACAUAUACACACCACAUUCUAACUGCACACACAGAGGUAUACGCACUGCAUUUUAACUGCACACAGAGAGGUAUACACACUGCAUUCUAACUGCACACAUAGAGAUAUACACACUGCAUUCUAACUGCACACAGAGAGG
This is a non-coding RNA of Pelobates cultripes (western spadefoot toad), 240 nucleotides long. The record is from the annotation of a GenBank genome assembly. Lineage: Eukaryota; Metazoa; Chordata; Amphibia; Anura; Pelobatidae.